RNAcentral lists this ribosomal RNA (497 nucleotides) under uncultured bacterium. RNAcentral describes it as "partial 16S ribosomal RNA". It matches the Rfam family "Bacterial small subunit ribosomal RNA", at positions 28 to 507 of the family's 1533-position model. The record is from RNAcentral.
GAUGAACGCUGGCGGCGUGCCUAAUACAUGCAAGUCGAGCGAACAGAUGAGGAGCUUGCUCCUCUGACGUUAGCGGCGGACGGGUGAGUAACACGUGGAUAACCUACCUAUAAGACUGGGAUAACUUCGGGAAACCGGAGCUAAUACCGGAUAAUAUAUUGAACCGCAGGGUUCAAUAGUGAAAGACGGCUUUGCUGUCACUUAUAGAUGGAUCCGCGCCGCAUUAGCUAGUUGGUAAGGUAACGGCUUACCAAGGCAACGAUGCGUAGCCGACCUGAGAGGGUGAUCGGCCACACUGGAGCGGAGACACGGUCCAGACUCCUACGGGAGGCAGCAGUAGGGAAUCUUCCGCAAAGGGCGAAAGCCUGACGGAGCAACGCCGCGUGUGUGAUGAAGGUCUUCGGAUCGUAAAACUCUGUUAUUGGGGAAGAACAAAUGUGGAAGUAACUAUGCACGUCUUGACGGUACCUAAUCAGAAAGCCACGGCUAACUACGUG